RNAcentral lists this ribosomal RNA (265 nucleotides) under uncultured archaeon. RNAcentral describes it as "partial 16S ribosomal RNA". It matches the Rfam family "Archaeal small subunit ribosomal RNA", at positions 717 to 982 of the family's 1478-position model. The record is from RNAcentral.
ACACGACUACAUUAGAUACCCGCGUAGUCCUAGCCGUAAACGAUACUCGCUAGGUGUCGGCCACGGUGCGGCCGUUGUCGGUGCCGUAGGGAAGCCGUGAAGCGAGCCACCUGGGAAGUACGGCCGCAAGGCUGAAACUUAAAGGAAUUGGCGGGGGAGCACCACAACGGGUGGAGCUUGCGGUUUAAUUGGAUUCAACGCCGGAAAUCUUACCGGGACCGACAGCAACAUGAAGGCCAGGCUGAAGACUUUGCCGGAUUAGCUG